ACUUUACAAUGCUGGCAACAGCGAUAAGGGAACCUCGAGUGCCAGGUUACAAAUCUGGCUGUCGAGAUGCCUAAAAAGCAUUUCAUAGCAAGGGCCGGGCAAGACCGGUGCCAGCCGCCGCGGUAACACCGGCGGCUCGAGUGGUAACCGUUAUUAUUGGGUCUAAAGGGUCUGUAGCCGGCCGGAUAAGUCUCUUGAGAAAUCUGGCAGCUUAACUGUCAGGCUUUCAGGAGAUACUGUCUGGCUCGAGGCCGGGAGAGGUGGGAGGUACUUCAGGGGUAGGGGUGAAAUCUUGUGAUCUCUGGAGGACCGCCAGUGGCGAAGGCGUCUCACCAGAACGGACCUGACGGCAAG
This 354-nucleotide ribosomal RNA is filed under the name uncultured archaeon. Its description in RNAcentral is "bacterial SSU rRNA". It matches the Rfam family "Archaeal small subunit ribosomal RNA", at positions 347 to 701 of the family's 1478-position model. The record is from RNAcentral.